Molecule: ribosomal RNA, 492 nt
Filed under: uncultured bacterium
Lineage: Bacteria
Description: partial 16S ribosomal RNA
Rfam family: Bacterial small subunit ribosomal RNA
Source: RNAcentral
AGUGAACGCUGGCGGUAGGCCUAACACAUGCAAGUCGAACGGCAGCACAGUAAGAGCUUGCUCUUACGGGUGGCGAGUGGCGGACGGGUGAGGAAUACAUCGGAAUCUACUUUUUCGUGGGGGAUAACGUAGGGAAACUUACGCUAAUACCGCAUACGACCUACGGGUGAAAGCAGGGGAUCUUCGGACCUUGCGCGAUUGAAUGGGCCGAUGUCGGAUUAGCUAGUUGGCGGGGUAAAGGCCCACCAAGGCGACGAUCCGUAGCUGGUCUGAGAGGAUGAUCAGCCACACUGGAACUGAGACACGGCCCAGACUCCUACGGGAGGACGCAGUGGGGAAUAUUGGACAAUGGGCGAAAGCCUGAUCCAGCCAUACCGCGUGGGUGAAGAAGGCGUUCGGGUUGUAAAGCCAUUAUGUUGGGAAAGAAAAGCAGCAGGUUAAUACCCCGCUGUUCUGACGGUACCCAAAGAAUAAGCACCGGCUAACUUCGUG